RNAcentral lists this transfer-messenger RNA (116 nucleotides) under Streptomyces sp. RNAcentral's name for it is "partial transfer-messenger RNA". It matches the Rfam family "transfer-messenger RNA", at positions 1 to 113 of the family's 374-position model. From Rfam's summary of the family: Bacterial tmRNA, also known as 10Sa RNA or SsrA, is named for its dual tRNA and mRNA-like properties. Its role is to liberate the mRNA from a stalled ribosome. Lineage: Bacteria; Bacillati; Actinomycetota; Actinomycetes; Kitasatosporales; Streptomycetaceae. The record is from RNAcentral.
GGGGAUGAUCGGUUUCGACAGCGGCUGUUGAAGCAGGGGAAGCGUGUCGAGGAAGCGGCAAUGAUCUCGUAAACCAUAUGUCGCAAAAAAUAAUCGCCAACACCAAGCGCGAUUCC